CCCGACACGGUACGUCGGAGACGCGGGUUCGAACCCCGCUGGAGCGGUCAAUUUUUGAUAUGAUAUUCAAAAAUGUUUAGAAUUCCUAAUGUGGGUAACACAAAAAUAAAAAUCUUAGAUAUUAAAAAUAGCACGGUGUCGUCUCCUGUCAAAGAUUUUCAUUGUAAUAUGAAACUUUGAAUAGUUACGGGUUUCUGUAAAGAGCUCACUAUAGACGGCGCCACGGUUCGCUUAAACCGUAAUUUAAAAUUAUCAUAUCGAAAAUUUCGCUCGAGCGGGUGUAUCGUUCCAUAGCUUAAUUGGCUAGAGCGCCGACACGGUACGUCGGAGACGCGGGUUCGAACCCCGCUGGAGCGGUCAAUUUUUGAUAUGAUAUUCAAAAAAAAUGUUUAGAAUUCCUAAUGUGGGUAACACAAAAAUAAAAAUCUUAGAUAUUAAAAAUAGCACGCACGGUGUCGUCUCCUGUCAAAGAUUUUCAUUGUAAUAUGAAACUUUGAAUAGUUACGGGUUUCUGUAAAGAGCUCACUAUAGACGGCGCCACGGUUCGCUUAAACCGUAAUUUAAAAUUAUCAUAUCGAAAAUUUCGCUCGAGCGGGUGUAUCGUUCCAUAGCUUAAUUGGCUAGAGCGCCGACACGGUACGUCGGAGACGCGGGUUCGAACCCCGCUGGAGCGGUCAAUUUUUGAUAUGAUAUUCAAAAAUGUUUAGAAUUCCUAAUGUGGGUAACACAAAAAUAAAAAUCUUAGAUAUUAAU
RNAcentral lists this transfer RNA (753 nucleotides) under Melitaea cinxia (Glanville fritillary). RNAcentral's name for it is "misc RNA ENSMCXG00005020149.1". The stretch from base 285 to 357 matches the Rfam family "tRNA". The record is from RNAcentral. Lineage: Eukaryota; Metazoa; Arthropoda; Insecta; Lepidoptera; Nymphalidae.